GAUGAACGCUGGCGGUUUGCCUAAUACAUGCAAGUCGAGCGAACGGACGAGAAGCUUGCUUCUCUGAUGUUAGCGGCGGACGGGUGAGUAACACGUGGAUAACCUACCUAUAAGACUGGGAUAACUUCGGGAAACCGGAGCUAAUACCGGAUAAUAUUUUGAACCGCAUGGUUCAAAAGUGAAAGACGGUCUUGCUGUCACUUAUAGAUGGAUCCGCGCUGCAUUAGCUAGUUGGUAAGGUAACGGCUUACCAAGGCAACGAUGCAUAGCCGACCUGAGAGGGUGAUCGGCCACACUGGAACUGAGACACGGUCCAGACUCCUACGGGAGGCAGCAGUAGGGAAUCUUCCGCAAUGGGCGAAAGCCUGACGGAGCAACGCCGCGUGAGUGAUGAAGGUCUUCGGAUCGUAAAACUCUGUUAUUAGGGAAGAACAUAUGUGUAAGUAACUGUGCACAUCUUGACGGUACCUAAUCAGAAAGCCACGGCUAACUACGUGCCAGCAGCCGCGGUAAUACGUAGGUGGCAAGCGUUAUCCGGAAUUAUUGGGCGUAAAGCGCGCGUAGGCGGUUUUUUAAGUCUGAUGUGAAAGCCCACGGCUCAACCGUGGAGGGUCAUUGGAAACUGGAAAACUUGAGUGCAGAAGAGGAAAGUGGAAUUCCAUGUGUAGCGGUGAAAUGCGCAGAGAUAUGGAGGAACACCAGUGGCGAAGGCGACUUUCUGGUCUGUAACUGACGCUGAUGUGCGAAAGCGUGGGGAUCAAACAGGAUUAGAUACCCUGGUAGUCCACGCCGUAAACGAUGAGUGCUAAGUGUUAGGGGGUUUCCGCCCCUUAGUGCUGCAGCUAACGCAUUAAGCACUCCGCCUGGGGAGUACGACCGCAAGGUUGAAACUCAAAGGAAUUGACGGGGACCCGCACAAGCGGUGGAGCAUGUGGUUUAAUUCGAAGCAACGCGAAGAACCUUACCAAAUCUUGACAUCCUUUGACAGCUCUAGAGAUAGAGCUUUCCCCUUCGGGGGACAAAGUGACAGGUGGUGCAUGGUUGUCGUCAGCUCGUGUCGUGAGAUGUUGGGUUAAGUCCCGCAACGAGCGCAACCCUUAAGCUUAGUUGCCAUCAUUAAGUUGGGCACUCUAAGUUGACUGCCGGUGACAAACCGGAGGAAGGUGGGGAUGACGUCAAAUCAUCAUGCCCCUUAUGAUUUGGGCUACACACGUGCUACAAUGGACAAUACAAAGGGCAGCGAAACCGCGAGGUCAAGCAAAUCCCAUAAAGUUGUUCUCAGUUCGGAUUGUAGUCUGCAACUCGACUACAUGAAGCUGGAAUCGCUAGUAAUCGUAGAUCAGCAUGCUACGGUGAAUACGUUCCCGGGUCU
This 1372-nucleotide ribosomal RNA is filed under the name uncultured bacterium. RNAcentral describes it as "bacterial SSU rRNA". It matches the Rfam family "Bacterial small subunit ribosomal RNA", at positions 28 to 1381 of the family's 1533-position model. The record is from RNAcentral.